This 1442-nucleotide long non-coding RNA is filed under the name Rattus norvegicus (Norway rat). Its description in RNAcentral is "long non-coding RNA NONRATT019363". The record is from RNAcentral. Lineage: Eukaryota; Metazoa; Chordata; Mammalia; Rodentia; Muridae.
AGAAAUCAAAGAUCUCAGAAAAUGGAGAGAGCCCCCAUGCUCAUGGAUUGGCAGAAUUAACAUAGUAAAAAUGGUCAUCCUACCAAAGGCAAUCUAUGGAUUCAAUGCAAUCCCCAUCAAAAUCCCAACACAAUUCUUCAAAGACAUGGAAAGAACAAUUCUCAAAUUCAUCUGGAAAGGCAAAAAACCCAGAAAAGCAAAAAUAAUUCUUAAUAAUAAAAGAAUGGCUGGGGGAAUCAUCAUUCUUGACCUCAAGCUCUACUUCAAAGCAAUAGUGAUAAAAACUACCUGGUAUUGGUACAGAGACAGGCAAGUUAAUGAAUGAAACAGAAUUGAAGACCCAGAAAUAAAACCACACACGUACACACACUUGAUCUCUGACAAAGAAGCCAAAAAUAUACAAUGGAUAAAAGAGAGCAUCUUCGAUAAAUGGUGCUGGUCUAAGUGGAUGUCUGUAUGUAGAAAAAUGAAACUAGACCCAUAUUUGUCACCAUGCACAAAGCUCAAGUCCAAGUGGGUCAAGAACCUCAACAUAAAACCAGAUGCCCUAAAUACAAUAGAAGAAAAAGUGGGAAAGAGCCUUGAACUCAUUGGCACAGGCAGAAUUUUCCUAAACGGAACUCCAAUGGCUCACACUCUAAGAUCAAGAAUUGAUAAAGAAAAUGUGGUUCAUUUACUCAGCUAUUAAGAACGAGGACAUCCUGAGUUUUGCAGGCAAAUGGAUAGAACUAGAAAAUGUCAUCCCAAGUGACAUAGCUCAGAUCCAAAAAGAAUUGCAUGGUAUGUUCUCACUAAUAAGUGGAUAGAAACAGUGGGAAAUGCUGCAGAAGACGGAGAUUCUUAGUUUAUAAGAAUACCAGAAUAUGCUAAUUACGAAGAUUAACCCCUCUGCCCUCCUUUUUUUUUUUCAUCAUGAUAAAUGCAAAGCCUACAAAAGCAAGGAAUAUUUUUGGGAGGCACACCAAGUGUAAAGUGUAGGUGAGUACUUUGCUUACAAAGGAGAAAGUUAAGCCACACUUAUAAAAGACCAGCAACAUCUUUUUUUUUUUAAUCUUCACUCUAUACUAGGGAAUUAGACUGAGAAGAAAAAAAUGUAACACCUUCAGUCAUAUUAUCAAAAAGUGACCUUCUCCGUCCACUAUCUCUGGGGCACAGCCCAUCUCCCAGUAAGGUUGCUGUCCCAGCUAAACGCAGAAAUGUAGUUAGGAAAAACUAAUUAACCAUUGGAAGGCACAUGGAAAAUCAAUAGAAGAAUAGAGUGACCUCCUUCUGCUUGUGGGCUCCUGUCCUCUCUUCCCAAGGGAAGGCAGAAUGAACAUCCAUACUGUGAAGAGUGAAGACGCCACCGUCAUCACCUUCCUCAUCUCUACAACGUGUCAUCACCAUGAAGGGGAGUCCACCCACAGCUGUGGUCACGGGUGUCACAGAGCAUCGCAGAACUG